This 52-nucleotide transfer RNA is filed under the name Longicollum sp. (in: thorny-headed worms). RNAcentral's name for it is "tRNA-Glu". The record is from RNAcentral. Lineage: Eukaryota; Metazoa; Acanthocephala; Palaeacanthocephala; Echinorhynchida; Pomphorhynchidae.
CUUUAAGAGGUGUAUAGCAUAUACUUUUUUCGUAAGUAGGGGAGUUUAAAGG